GAUGAACGCUGGCGGCGUGCUUAACACAUGCAAGUCGAACGGAAAGGCUCCUGCUUGCAGGGGUACUCGAGUGGCGAACGGGUGAGUAACACGUGGGUGAUCUGCCCUGCACUUCGGGAUAAGCCUGGGAAACUGGGUCUAAUACCGGUUAGGACGAUGGUUUGGAUGCCAUUGUGGAAAGUUUUUCGGUGUGGGAUGAGCUCGCGGCCUAUCAGCUUGUUGGUGGGGUAAUGGCCUACCAAGGCGUCGACGGGUAGCCGGCCUGAGAGGGUGUACGGCCACAUUGGGACUGAGAUACGGCCCAGACUCCUACGGGAGGCAGCAGUGGGGAAUAUUGCACAAUGGGCGCAAGCCUGAUGCGGCGACGCCGCGUGGGGGAUGACGGCCUUCGGGUUGUAAACUCCUUUCGCUAGGGACGAAGCGCAAGUGACGGUACCUGGAGAAGAAGCACCGGCUAACUACGUG
This 465-nucleotide ribosomal RNA is filed under the name uncultured bacterium. Its description in RNAcentral is "partial 16S ribosomal RNA". It matches the Rfam family "Bacterial small subunit ribosomal RNA", at positions 28 to 507 of the family's 1533-position model. The record is from RNAcentral.